AACGAACGCUGGCGGCAUGCCUAACACAUGCAAGUCGAACGAGACCUUCGGGUCUAGUGGCGCACGGGUGCGUAACGCGUGGGAAUCUGCCCCUUGGUUCGGAAUAACAGUUAGAAAUGACUGCUAAUACCGGAUGAUGACGGAAGUCCAAAGAUUUAUCGCCGAGGGAUGAGCCCGCGUAGGAUUAGCUAGUUGGUGAGGUAAAGGCUCACCAAGGCGACGAUCCUUAGCUGGGUCUGAGAGGAUGAUCAGCCACACUGGGACUGAGACACGGCCCAGACUCCUACGGGAGGCAGCAGUGGGGAAUAUUGGACAAUGGGCGAAAGCCUGAUCCAGCAAUGCCGCGUGAGUGAUGAAGGCCUAGGUCGUAAAGCUCUUUACCAGGGAUGAUAAUGACAGUACCUGGAGAAUAAGCUCCGGCUAACUCCGUGCCAGCAGCCGCGGU
Molecule: ribosomal RNA, 445 nt
Filed under: uncultured bacterium
Lineage: Bacteria
Description: bacterial SSU rRNA
Rfam family: Bacterial small subunit ribosomal RNA
Source: RNAcentral